GGGGGUGUGGCUCAAGUAGAGAGUGCUUGCCUGGCAUGCAUGAGGCACUGGGUUCGAUCCUCAGCACCACAU
Molecule: transfer RNA, 72 nt
Filed under: Marmota marmota marmota (Alpine marmot)
Lineage: Eukaryota; Metazoa; Chordata; Mammalia; Rodentia; Sciuridae
Also listed under: 1 other name
Rfam family: tRNA
About the family: Transfer RNA (tRNA) molecules are approximately 80 nucleotides in length. Their secondary structure includes four short double-helical elements and three loops (D, anti-codon, and T loops).
Source: Rfam by way of RNAcentral